This 637-nucleotide ribosomal RNA is filed under the name Ruegeria conchae. Its description in RNAcentral is "bacterial SSU rRNA". It matches the Rfam family "Bacterial small subunit ribosomal RNA", at positions 64 to 747 of the family's 1533-position model. Lineage: Bacteria; Pseudomonadati; Pseudomonadota; Alphaproteobacteria; Rhodobacterales; Roseobacteraceae. The record is from RNAcentral.
GAGCGCGCCUUUCGGGGUGAGCGGCGGACGGGUUAGUAACGCGUGGGAAUAUACCCUUUGGUACGGAAUAGCCUCUGGAAACGGAGAGUAAUACCGUAUGAGCCCUUCGGGGGAAAGAUUUAUCGCCAAAGGAUUAGCCCGCGUUAGAUUAGGUAGUUGGUGGGGUAAUGGCCUACCAAGCCUACGAUCUAUAGCUGGUUUUAGAGGAUGAUCAGCAACACUGGGACUGAGACACGGCCCAGACUCCUACGGGAGGCAGCAGUGGGGAAUCUUGGACAAUGGGGGCAACCCUGAUCCAGCCAUGCCGCGUGAGUGAUGAAGGCCUUAGGGUCGUAAAGCUCUUUCGCCUGUGAAGAUAAUGACGGUAGCAGGUAAAGAAACCCCGGCUAACUCCGUGCCAGCAGCCGCGGUAAUACGGAGGGGGUUAGCGUUGUUCGGAAUUACUGGGCGUAAAGCGCACGUAGGCGGACCAGAAAGUUGGGGGUGAAAUCCCGGGGCUCAACCCCGGAACUGCCUCCAAAACUAUUGGUCUAGAGUUCGAGAGAGGUGAGUGGAAUUCCGAGUGUAGAGGUGAAAUUCGUAGAUAUUCGGAGGAACACCAGUGGCGAAGGCGGCUCACUGGCUCGAUACUGACGCG